This 90-nucleotide transfer RNA is filed under the name Felis catus (domestic cat). It matches the Rfam family "tRNA". From Rfam's summary of the family: Transfer RNA (tRNA) molecules are approximately 80 nucleotides in length. Their secondary structure includes four short double-helical elements and three loops (D, anti-codon, and T loops). Further hydrogen bonds mediate the characteristic L-shaped molecular structure. tRNAs have two regions of fundamental functional importance: the anti-codon, which is responsible for specific mRNA codon recognition, and the 3' end, to which the tRNAs corresponding amino acid is attached (by aminoacyl-tRNA synthetases). tRNAs cope with the degeneracy of the genetic code in two manners: having more than one tRNA (with a specific anti-codon) for a particular amino acid; and 'wobble' base-pairing, i.e. permitting non-standard base-pairing at the 3rd anti-codon position. The record is from Rfam by way of RNAcentral. RNAcentral also lists the same sequence under 1 other name. Lineage: Eukaryota; Metazoa; Chordata; Mammalia; Carnivora; Felidae.
GCCUGGGUGGCUCAGUCGGUUGAGCGCCAGACUCCGGCUCAGGUCAUGAUCUCACCUCACAGUUAGUGGGUUCGAGCCCUGCAUCAGGCU